RNAcentral lists this long non-coding RNA (696 nucleotides) under Vulpes vulpes (red fox). RNAcentral's name for it is "lncRNA (ENSVVUG00000006595.1)". Lineage: Eukaryota; Metazoa; Chordata; Mammalia; Carnivora; Canidae. The record is from RNAcentral.
GAAGAAUAUAGCAGUACAAUAGAGGUCUUAGAAUGUGAGGGUGGGUUCUAAUCUGUCACAGCAUUGUGUGACCAUAUCACCCACAAUGACUCUGGGCCUUGCUUAUCUGAUGUGUACUAUGAAUGGCUUGCCUAGUAUUGUUGAUUUUCAAGCCAGCUCUGGCCACACAGAGAUGCUUGGGGAAGAAGAAGAGAGGGGGAGCUCUGUGCCCAUCUCCUGGCUUCUGCAGAAGAAUCUUUCUUUAUCGGGGCCCCCAUACGCUUUCAUUUGAAAGAAAGUUUUGUACUUACAAGGGAAAAUUGAAAACCCCAGAACUAGGAGAGAAGAAAUGUAAGAUGACACAUGUGGCUCAUAUUAAAAUUCUGUUGGAUGGCCCUGGACUAGAAAGAAUCAGAUAUGCAAGAGGCCCAAAUGGACCCUUUCAGCAGAUUCAGCAAUGUUCACCAAGCAACUCUGUGUGCCUAGAGCUGGGAUAGAAACUCUACCCAACUAACUGCCAGAUACAGCAUGGUUGUUCUAGUUUCCAUGUUUUGCUGAUAUUUUUAAUGAACGGAACAAAUUCGAUUCAGGCCAUGAGAAUCCCAACAUUGUGAUGAUUGCAACUGCAAAGAAAUUGUUGGCAACGAGAAAACAAAAGUCUGAACUCCAUCUGCAAAAUUAAAUAAAUUGGACUGUUUUAAAACUUUACUUAAAUAU